GACGAACGCUGGCGGCGUGCCUAAUACAUGCAAGUCGAGCGAAGUUUUUCUGGUUCUUGCACUAGAAAAACUUAGCGGCGAACGGGUGAGUAACACGUAAAGAACCUGCCUCAUAGACUGGGACAACUAUUGGAAACGAUAGCUAAUACCGGAUAACAGUAUUUCUCGCAUGAGAGAUAUUUAAAAGUUGGUUAUGCUAACACUAUGAGAUGGCUUUGCGGUGCAUUAGCUAGUUGGUGGGGUAAAGGCCCACCAAGGCGACGAUGCAUAGCCGACCUGAGAGGGUGAUCGGCCACACUGGGACUGAUACACGGCCCAUACUCCUACGGGAGGCAGCAGUAGGGAAUCUUCCGCAAUGGGCGAAAGCCUGACGGAGCAACGCCGCGUGAGUGAAGAAGGAUUUCGGUUCGUAAAGCUCUGUUGUUAGGGAAGAAUGGAUAUGUAGUAACUAUACAUGUAAGAGACGGUACCUAACCAGAAAGCCACGGCUAACUACGUG
Molecule: ribosomal RNA, 499 nt
Filed under: uncultured bacterium
Lineage: Bacteria
Description: partial 16S ribosomal RNA
Rfam family: Bacterial small subunit ribosomal RNA
Source: RNAcentral